AGAAAAAGUUUUCUUUUCUGGAGUCCCAAACGAGGUGCGGGACGGAAGAGGGGGUGAAGGCCAGAGGCUCGGGGCUUCAAGACCGCUGUCUGGAGUCCCCCGUUCCAGGCCAUGUCGGGGCCCACCUGGCUGCCCCCGAAGCAGCCGGAGCCCGCCAGAGCCCCUCAGGGGAGGGCGAUCCCCCGCGGCACCCCGGGGCCACCACCGGCCCACGGAGCAGUGUUACCAGGCCCCAGGGGGACCAGAGGAUCGGGGGCCGGCCUGGGUGGGGUCCCAUGGAGUACUCCAGCACACGCAGGUGAGAGCCGGGAUCGUGGGGUGGGACGUGCGGGAUCCCCUAGAACCGAGUCUGAGGGACCCAGGACAGGAGAAGGCCUAUGGUGAUUUGCAUUCUUCCUGCCCUGGCUCCAUCCUCAGGGGCUCCCUGCAGACAGGGGGGGCCUUCGCCCUG
RNAcentral lists this small RNA (451 nucleotides) under Pan troglodytes (chimpanzee). RNAcentral describes it as "retained intron". Lineage: Eukaryota; Metazoa; Chordata; Mammalia; Primates; Hominidae. The record is from RNAcentral.